GUAGAAGGUGAAGGGGAAAGAGUAUUCAAGUGAUUCACGAGCUCAUCACUGGUUAAAAAACACCUUUUGUGCCACGUAAGGUUUUGUGUUUAAUUGGUUAACUUUCAAUAAGUUCAAGAGUUCAAUAGGUACCGGUCCUAGUUGAGGUUUUAAAAUGAAAAUUGGAGUCAAGUAUAAGGGACCUCUUAUCUAUAUGGCCUUGAAAUUAUCUUGCCCUUUUCUAUCUUCUUGUUAUAAACUGUUCAUGUCUCCUUAUUUUUAUUUGUUUAUUGAAUUUGUAUAAGUUACAUAUGAUAUAUUGAAUGAAUCAUUUCUAGGGGUCUUAUCAUCAAGAAUUGUUUAUUUCAGAAGUUUUCAUCUACUUUUGUUAACAUUUUG
RNAcentral lists this unclassified non-coding RNA (378 nucleotides) under Hevea brasiliensis (rubber tree). Lineage: Eukaryota; Viridiplantae; Streptophyta; Magnoliopsida; Malpighiales; Euphorbiaceae. The record is from RNAcentral.